AUGGCAACCCGCCGGUUGAGCAGCCUCUCUCGUUGCCAUGGAAACCGGCCCCGGUGCCGUCGCCGCUCGCUCCCUGCGAUGCCGGUGGGGCGGUUGGGGCCGUGCUCCCGGACCCGCCGCGGGGCUGGGGUCACCCCCCGGUCCCGGUGGCACCCCGGCCGCGGGGAUGCCCCUCGGGGUCCGGCUGCGGAGACCCCUGGGCGGGCGCUGGGGGUGCAGCAGGACAGGACCCGGUGCCCCCGGCCAGCCCGCGCAGCCCCGUGCGUCCCCGUUCUCGGGGCAGCAGACGCGGGGGCAGAGCUGGGUGUGCGCGAGGGGCAGCUCUGUGCAGAGCCGGCACCGGGAGGGGCUGGGGCCCCCCUGCCCCAGCCCGCAGCCGUGGGGAGAGCAGAGCCCUGGGGUGUCCCACUUGGGCGCAGUGGGGCUGGGAGUGCGCUGCCGGGGACGUGGGGCGGCCGUGCCACGGGCCCUGGCUGUGGCUGCCAUCGUGUGCCAGCUCCGGGCCCUCGCUCAGCCCGGGCUCGGCGCGAGGUGGCUGCAGGGGCACGGGUGGGUCGCGGGGCGGCUGCUCUGUGCCAGCCCACGGCCUGGACCCGCGGCCGCCUCACAGCACAUUCCUCCCCGUGCCGCUCCCGGCAGCUUGCUGUAAGUGGGGCACUGAUGCCAUGCCUGGCCCCGUGCCAGGCGCCUGCGUGUGCCCGGGCGCAGGGGCCACUUGCAGCUGACGGCAGGCCGUGUGCCCGCAGAGAGCCACCUGGCGCCCUCCGGCCCCGGUCCCCUGCCCGUGCCCUUGUGCUGCCCCGGCCCUGCUGCCGGCCCCAGUCCCGGCCGCCCGGCAGUGCUUGGGCCACACCAAGGCUUGUUGGAGCACGCACCGUGGGGGCCACGGCCAAGGGGUCUGCCGUGGGCCUAGCAGGGGUAGGCUGGGGCCGUGCUGUGGUCGGCCCCGAGCCCCUGGCACGCGCCGUGCGACCACAGGCCCUGCCCUGUGCCGGUGGGACCCUGUGCACGGGCUGA
This 1017-nucleotide long non-coding RNA is filed under the name Anser cygnoides (Swan goose). RNAcentral's name for it is "lncRNA (ENSACDG00005016629.1)". The record is from RNAcentral. Lineage: Eukaryota; Metazoa; Chordata; Aves; Anseriformes; Anatidae.